UGGACCUUUAGCUCAGUUGGUUAGAGCAGACGGCUCAUAACCGUCGGGUCGUAGGUUCGAGUCCUACAAGGUCCAU
This 76-nucleotide transfer RNA is filed under the name Lactobacillus gasseri. RNAcentral describes it as "tRNA-Met". It matches the Rfam family "tRNA". From Rfam's summary of the family: Transfer RNA (tRNA) molecules are approximately 80 nucleotides in length. Lineage: Bacteria; Bacillati; Bacillota; Bacilli; Lactobacillales; Lactobacillaceae. The record is from RNAcentral. RNAcentral also lists the same sequence under 3 other names.